This 271-nucleotide long non-coding RNA is filed under the name Helianthus annuus (common sunflower). Its description in RNAcentral is "hypothetical non coding rna". The record is from RNAcentral. Lineage: Eukaryota; Viridiplantae; Streptophyta; Magnoliopsida; Asterales; Asteraceae.
CCCAGCCUUUGUUUCAUUCUGACUCUUUGCAUGCUUGUUUGUGGGGUUGUAUGGCCUUAACAUUUAGGGUCGGAAGCUUUUAGGCUAUUCAACAUCUUUCAUCUAGGCGUGUUACUCAACCUGCCUGCCGGUCGGUUUUUGUGGGUUCCAAGAUUGUGUUUGCUAUUAUGAAAGGGAACGAUAUCAAGCCAUAAGGCAUGCCUCGCCUAUGAAUGUGUUAUUAAUUUGUUUUGCCCGUAGGAAAAAUACUAAGCCGUAAUGAAUGCUUUGU